Long non-coding RNA from Rana temporaria (common frog), 433 nucleotides. RefSeq lists it as uncharacterized. NCBI's taxonomy places the organism in Eukaryota, Metazoa, Chordata, Amphibia, Anura, Ranidae. The record is from RefSeq and is a predicted model, not a curated record. The transcript has 4 exons.
AUGAGCAUCAUCUAUAAGAAUGUUACUGGGUUUGAAGAUGUAGAAAUACUGUCUAUAAGCGAAGGAAGCAUUAUUGUGCUUCAUGAGGUCAUUGUGAGAUUCCUAUAUGUGUCCGGUGGGAAUAUAAAAGAGCAGUUUGAAAAAGCAUGUGAAGAUGUAAACAGUUACCUGAAAAUACUGAAUGAAACCUGUGAAGUAGAAAACCCCAACAUGUGUAUUGACAGAAGUUUUACCGUGGCACCUGCAAUGGAACCGAUAUCUCACGAAGAGCAAUGCAGGCAAAAGGUUGAAGAAGGUUUUCAAGAUUUUUUCAGUCCAGAAUUUGAAUCUGGGAUUCCUAUCUGCGUGUCUCACUGUGAUGAAAAAUCUUCUUCUCACUUUAAGAACUGUCAUAAAGGAAACUGUCAUAUCGAGAAAUGGACGGGGCCCCGCU